CGUAGGGUGCAAGCGUUAAUCGGAAUUACUGGGCUAAAGCGUGCGCAGGCGGCUAUGCAAGACAGAUGUGAAAUCCCCGGGCUCAACCUGGGAACUGCAUUUGUGACUGCAUGGCUAGAGUACGGCAGAGGGGGAUGGAAUUCCGCGUGUAGCAGUGAAAUGCGUAGAUAUGCGGAGGAACACCGAUGGCGAAGGCAAUCCCCUGGGCCUGUACUGACGCUCAUGCACGAAAGCGUGGGGAGCAAACAGGAUUAGAUACCCUGGUAGUCCACGCCCUAAACGAUGUCAACUGGUUGUUGGACGGCUUGCUGUUCAGUAACGAAGCUAACGCGUGAAGUUGACCGCCUGGGGAGUACGGCCGCAAGGUUG
This 369-nucleotide ribosomal RNA is filed under the name uncultured organism. Its description in RNAcentral is "bacterial SSU rRNA". It matches the Rfam family "Bacterial small subunit ribosomal RNA", at positions 526 to 896 of the family's 1533-position model. The record is from RNAcentral.